RNAcentral lists this ribosomal RNA (423 nucleotides) under uncultured bacterium. Its description in RNAcentral is "partial 16S ribosomal RNA". It matches the Rfam family "Bacterial small subunit ribosomal RNA", at positions 360 to 775 of the family's 1533-position model. The record is from RNAcentral.
AAUAUUGGACAAUGGGCGAAAGCCUGAUCCAGCAAUGCCGCGUGUGUGAAGAAGGCCUGCGGGUUGUAAAGCACUUUCGGUGGGGAAGAAAAGCGCGGGGCUAAUACCCGCGGGCAUUGACGUUACCCCCAGUAGAAGCACCGGCUAACUCCGCUCCAUCAGCACCGGUAAUACGGAGGGUGCGAGCGUUAAUCGGAAUUACUGGGCGUAAAGCGCACGCAGGUGGAUGUGGAAGUCGGAUGUGAAAGCCCCGGGCUCAACCUGGGAAUUGCAUUCGAUACUGCAUAGCUAGAGUAUGGGAGAGGGAAGUGGAAUUCCCGGUGUAGCGGUGAAACGCGUAGAUAUCGGGAAGAACACCAGUGGCGAAGGCGGCUUUCUGGCCCAAUACUGACACUCAUGUGCGACAGCGUGGGGAGCAAACAG